CCUACGGGGGGCUGCAGUGGGGAAUAUUGCACAAUGGGCGAAAGCCUGAUGCAGCAACGCCGCGUGAAGGAAGAAGGGUUUCGGCUCGUAAACUUCUAUCAACAGGGACGAAAGAAAUGACGGUACAUGAAUAAGAAGCCCCGGCUAACUACGUGCCAGCAGCCGCGGUAAUACGUAGGGGGCAAGCGUUAACCGGAAUUACUGGGUGUAAAGGGUGGGUAGGCGGCAUGGUAAGCCAGAUGUGAAAGCCUUGGGCUUAACCCGAGGAUUGCAUGUGGAACUAUCAAGCUAGAGUUCAGGAGAGGAGAGCGGAAUUCCUAGUGUAGCGGUGAAAUGCGUAGAUAUUAGGAAGAACACCAGUGGCGAAGGCGGCUUUCUGGACUGAAACUGACGCUGAGGCACGAAAGCGUGGGGAGCGAACAGGAUUAGAUACCCUUGUAGUC
Molecule: ribosomal RNA, 443 nt
Filed under: uncultured bacterium
Lineage: Bacteria
Description: partial 16S ribosomal RNA
Rfam family: Bacterial small subunit ribosomal RNA
Source: RNAcentral